RNAcentral lists this ribosomal RNA (440 nucleotides) under uncultured bacterium. RNAcentral describes it as "partial 16S ribosomal RNA". It matches the Rfam family "Bacterial small subunit ribosomal RNA", at positions 338 to 795 of the family's 1533-position model. The record is from RNAcentral.
CCUACGGGUGGCAGCAGUGGGGAAUAUUGCACAAUGGGGGAAACCCUGAUGCAGCGACGCCGCGUGAGUGAAGAAGUAAUUCGUUAUGUAAAGCUCUAUCAGCAGGGAAGAGAAUGACGGUUCCUGAGCUAGAAACCCCCGCCAACUACGUGCCAGCAGCCGCGGUAAUACGUAGGGGGCAAGCGUUAUUCGGAUUUACUGGGGGUAAAGGGAGCGUAGACGGCAGUGCAAGUCUGAAGUGAAAGGCGGGGGCGCAACCCCCGGACUGCUCUGGAGACUGUACGGCUGGAGUGCAGGAGAGGUAAGUGGAAUUCCUAGUGUAGCGGUGAAAUGCGUAGAUAUUAGGAGGAACACCAGUGGCGAAGGCGGCUUACUGGACUGUAACUGACGUUGAGGCUCGAAAGCGUGGGGAGCAAACAGGAUUAGAUACCCGAGUAGUC